UUACGAAACGUCGAAAAAACACCGUUUUUUUAAUUGCCGCAUAUUCCUCAAGUUUUUUGUUUUUUACAUACACAUGGAUAUCUUUUGCAUAAAAAAAACCAAUUACCUGCCCGAAUUACGCAACAAAAACCUCAUGAAAUUCCAAUUUUUGUAAUAAAACAAAAAAUGACCCAGUCCUGAGUGGUAUAAAAGGGGCCAAGAAUUCUCUUUGGGUGCAGUUUUUGAAUAUUUUUCUACAACAUGCUUCAACAGUUAAAAGCCGUCGUUCUCGCCGCCCUUUGGGCCACUGGUCUCAUCAUAAUGGCCACAGAACUGCCCCCUGAGGACAUCUAUUAACUGUGUCA
Molecule: long non-coding RNA, 344 nt
Organism: Zophobas morio
Lineage: Eukaryota; Metazoa; Arthropoda; Insecta; Coleoptera; Tenebrionidae
Exons: 3
Source: RefSeq, a predicted model, not a curated record